AGCGACUAAGCGUACACGGUGGAUGCCCUGGCAGUCAGAGGCGAUGAAGGACGUGCUAAUCUGCGAUAAGCGUCGGUAAGGUGAUAUGAACCGUUAUAACCGGCGAUUUCCGAAUGGGGAAACCCAGUGUGUUUCGACACACUAUCAUUAACUGAAUCCAUAGGUUAAUGAGGCGAACCGGGGGAACUGAAACAUCUAAGUACCCCGAGGAAAAGAAAUCAACCGAGAUUCCCCCAGUAGCGGCGAGCGAACGGGGAGCAGCCCAGAGCCUGAAUCAGUGUGUGUGUUAGUGGAAGCGUCUGGAAAGGCGCGCGAUACAGGGUGACAGCCCCGUACACAAAAAUGCACAUGCUGUGAGCUCGAUGAGUAGGGCGGGACACGUGGUAUCCUGUCUGAAUAUGGGGGGACCAUCCUCCAAGGCUAAAUACUCCUGACUGACCGAUAGUGAACCAGUACCGUGAGGGAAAGGCGAAAAGAACCCCGGCGAGGGGAGUGAAAAAGAACCUGAAACCGUGUACGUACAAGCAGUGGGAGCACGCUUCGGCGUGUGACUGCGUACCUUUUGUAUAAUGGGUCAGCGACUUAUAUUCUGUAGCAAGGUUAACCGAAUAGGGGAGCCGAAGGGAAACCGAGUCUUAACUGGGCGUUAAGUUGCAGGGUAUAGACCCGAAACCCGGUGAUCUAGCCAUGGGCAGGUUGAAGGUUGGGUAACACUAACUGGAGGACCGAACCGACUAAUGUUGAAAAAUUAGCGGAUGACUUGUGGCUGGGGGUGAAAGGCCAAUCAAACCGGGAGAUAGCUGGUUCUCCCCGAAAGCUAUUUAGGUAGCGCCUCGUGAAUUCAUCUCCGGGGGUAGAGCACUGUUUCGGCAAGGGGGUCAUCCCGACUUACCAACCCGAUGCAAACUGCGAAUACCGGAGAAUGUUAUCACGGGAGACACACGGCGGGUGCUAACGUCCGUCGUGAAGAGGGAAACAACCCAGACCGCCAGCUAAGGUCCCAAAGUCAUGGUUAAGUGGGAAACGAUGUGGGAAGGCCCAGACAGCCAGGAUGUUGGCUUAGAAGCAGCCAUCAUUUAAAGAAAGCGUAAUAGCUCACUGGUCGAGUCGGCCUGCGCGGAAGAUGUAACGGGGCUAAACCAUGCACCGAAGCUGCGGCAGCGACGCUUAUGCGUUGUUGGGUAGGGGAGCGUUCUGUAAGCCUGUGAAGGUGUGCUGUGAGGCAUGCUGGAGGUAUCAGAAGUGCGAAUGCUGACAUAAGUAACGAUAAAGCGGGUGAAAAGCCCGCUCGCCGGAAGACCAAGGGUUCCUGUCCAACGUUAAUCGGGGCAGGGUGAGUCGACCCCUAAGGCGAGGCCGAAAGGCGUAGUCGAUGGGAAACAGGUUAAUAUUCCUGUACUUGGUGUUACUGCGAAGGGGGGACGGAGAAGGCUAUGUUGGCCGGGCGACGGUUGUCCCGGUUUAAGCGUGUAGGCUGGUUUUCCAGGCAAAUCCGGAAAAUCAAGGCUGAGGCGUGAUGACGAGGCACUACGGUGCUGAAGCAACAAAUGCCCUGCUUCCAGGAAAAGCCUCUAAGCAUCAGGUAACAUCAAAUCGUACCCCAAACCGACACAGGUGGUCAGGUAGAGAAUACCAAGGCGCUUGAGAGAACUCGGGUGAAGGAACUAGGCAAAAUGGUGCCGUAACUUCGGGAGAAGGCACGCUGAUAUGUAGGUGAAGCGACUUGCUCGUGGAGCUGAAAUCAGUCGAAGAUACCAGCUGGCUGCAACUGUUUAUUAAAAACACAGCACUGUGCAAACACGAAAGUGGACGUAUACGGUGUGACGCCUGCCCGGUGCCGGAAGGUUAAUUGAUGGGGUCAGCGCAAGCGAAGCUCUUGAUCGAAGCCCCGGUAAACGGCGGCCGUAACUAUAACGGUCCUAAGGUAGCGAAAUUCCUUGUCGGGUAAGUUCCGACCUGCACGAAUGGCGUAAUGAUGGCCAGGCUGUCUCCACCCGAGACUCAGUGAAAUUGAACUCGCUGUGAAGAUGCAGUGUACCCGCGGCAAGACGGAAAGACCCCGUGAACCUUUACUAUAGCUUGACACUGAACAUUGAGCCUUGAUGUGUAGGAUAGGUGGGAGGCUUUGAAGUGUGGACGCCAGUCUGCAUGGAGCCGACCUUGAAAUACCACCCUUUAAUGUUUGAUGUUCUAACGUUGACCCGUAAUCCGGGUUGCGGACAGUGUCUGGUGGGUAGUUUGACUGGGGCGGUCUCCUCCUAAAGAGUAACGGAGGAGCACGAAGGUUGGCUAAUCCUGGUCGGACAUCAGGAGGUUAGUGCAAUGGCAUAAGCCAGCUUGACUGCGAGCGUGACGGCGCGAGCAGGUGCGAAAGCAGGUCAUAGUGAUCCGGUGGUUCUGAAUGGAAGGGCCAUCGCUCAACGGAUAAAAGGUACUCCGGGGAUAACAGGCUGAUACCGCCCAAGAGUUCAUAUCGACGGCGGUGUUUGGCACCUCGAUGUCGGCUCAUCACAUCCUGGGGCUGAAGUAGGUCCCAAGGGUAUGGCUGUUCGCCAUUUAAAGUGGUACGCGAGCUGGGUUUAGAACGUCGUGAGACAGUUCGGUCCCUAUCUGCCGUGGGCGCUGGAGAACUGAGGGGGGCUGCUCCUAGUACGAGAGGACCGGAGUGGACGCAUCACUGGUGUUCGGGUUGUCAUGCCAAUGGCACUGCCCGGUAGCUAAAUGCGGAAGAGAUAAGUGCUGAAAGCAUCUAAGCACGAAACUUGCCCCGAGAUGAGU
This 2778-nucleotide ribosomal RNA is filed under the name Escherichia coli. RNAcentral describes it as "partial 23S ribosomal RNA". It matches the Rfam family "Bacterial large subunit ribosomal RNA". Lineage: Bacteria; Pseudomonadati; Pseudomonadota; Gammaproteobacteria; Enterobacterales; Enterobacteriaceae. The record is from RNAcentral.